UGGAGGUGUGGUGGGACCGGGGUUGGGCUGGACAUCUUUUUCUAUGGCUAGAGGCAGGACACGCGUGGAUUGUUGGCCCCGGAGGAAAGCCAGCAUCCCAUCGUCCGGGGUAUCGACAGCGUUUUCCUUUUUGCUUGCUCGGCAUAUCUGUUAAUAUCUGUUGGUGGCGUGGUUGCUCAGGGUGCUAGCGAUGGAUUGCUGCCUCUUCCCGCUCUCCUUAUUCUGCAGAGGCCUAGCAUAGAAGAUAACUCUUGGUGCUCCAAGAUCCAUCAAGGUUCGGUUAAGAAAAAGGAUCCAUCAAGGUUGAUUCCCUCUAUUCUCAGUAGCAUCUUCAGGUGGAGGAAGACAAAUGUGAGGUCAGCAAUUUACUGAGGAAGAACAGACAAAGUUGGUGAAAGACAGGCGGAUAAGAAAUGGCUAUACUAUUGAGUGACAAGAUAGUUACUGUGGUAACAUAGAAGGAAGAAAUUGUCUUUAAGAAGAAUAAGAUCAACGAGCUUCAGGUGCUAGCUUUUCUGUAUGCCAGCAAAAUUAAUUAAUUUUACAUGCUCAUUUUCUUAAUUGUAUUAAUUUCUCAGAACAUUUAUUUGGUGAUCACGAAAUUUCUGUAUAAUGUCGGAUAAUAAGUUUGUUCAAAAAGUUCUGUAUGUCGCAUGCUUUGCUUGUAGACAUAAUUUGAUCCAUGGAGCGUUACCAAUUUUGUUGGGCA
Molecule: long non-coding RNA, 709 nt
Organism: Lolium rigidum
Lineage: Eukaryota; Viridiplantae; Streptophyta; Magnoliopsida; Poales; Poaceae
Exons: 4
Source: RefSeq, a predicted model, not a curated record